AGUGAACGCUGGCGGCAGGCCUAACACAUGCAAGUCGAACGGCAGCACAGUAAGAGCUUGCUCUUACGGGUGGCGAGUGGCGGACGGGUGAGGAAUACAUCGGAAUCUACUUUUUCGUGGGGGAUAACGUAGGGAAACUUACGCUAAUACCGCAUACGACCUACGGGUGAAAGCAGGGGAUCUUCGGACCUUGCGCGAUUGAAUGAGCCGAUGUCGGAUUAGCUAGUUGGCGGGGUAAAGGCCCACCAAGGCGACGGUCCGUAGCUGGUCUGAGAGGAUGGUCAGCCACACUGGAACUGAGACACGGUCCAGACUCCUACGGAAGGCAGCAGUGGGGAAUAGUGGACAAGGGGCGCAAGCCUGAUCCAGCCAUACCGCGGGGGUGAGGAAGGCCUUCGGGUUGUAAAGCCCUUUUGUUGGGAAAGAAAAGCAGCAGGUUAAUACCCCGCUGUUCUGACGGUACCCAAAGAAUAGGCACCGGCUAACUUCGUG
RNAcentral lists this ribosomal RNA (492 nucleotides) under uncultured bacterium. Its description in RNAcentral is "partial 16S ribosomal RNA". It matches the Rfam family "Bacterial small subunit ribosomal RNA", at positions 29 to 507 of the family's 1533-position model. The record is from RNAcentral.